This 64-nucleotide transfer RNA is filed under the name Appalachioria falcifera. RNAcentral describes it as "tRNA-His". Lineage: Eukaryota; Metazoa; Arthropoda; Diplopoda; Polydesmida; Xystodesmidae. The record is from RNAcentral.
GUUCGUAUAGUUUAAAAAAAAUUAUGGAAUGUGGUUUCUUGGAUAAUCUAGGUUUGCGGACAAG